RNAcentral lists this ribosomal RNA (410 nucleotides) under uncultured bacterium. RNAcentral's name for it is "bacterial SSU rRNA". It matches the Rfam family "Bacterial small subunit ribosomal RNA", at positions 9 to 418 of the family's 1533-position model. The record is from RNAcentral.
GAGUUUGAUCCUGGCUCAGGAUAAACGCUGGCGGCGUGCCAUGGAGACAUGCAAGUCGAACGGACGAUCGAGGCUUGCCUUGACCGUUAGUGGCGGACGGCUGAGUAACGCGUAGGUGACCUGCCCCGAAGUGGGGAAUAACUGCCCGAAAGGGUGGCUAAUACCGCAUGUGGUGGUGUGUUCAUUCACACCAGUAAAGCCGCAAGGCGCUUCGGGAGGGGCCUGCGUCCGAUUAGCUCGUUGGUGGGGUAACGGCUCACCAAGGCGACGAUCGGUAGGUGGUCUGAGAGGACGAUCACCCAGACUGGGACUGAGACACGGCCCAGACUCCUACGGGAGGCAGCAGUCGGGAAUUUUGCGCAAUGGACGAAAGUCUGACGCAGCAACGCCGCGUGAGGGAUGAAGGCCUU